Non-coding RNA from Elaeis guineensis (African oil palm), 3742 nucleotides. Lineage: Eukaryota; Viridiplantae; Streptophyta; Magnoliopsida; Arecales; Arecaceae. The record is from RefSeq and is a predicted model, not a curated record.
UCUAUCGGUAUGUGUAUUACAUGUUGUUUAAUUGAUGUUGCUUGAAUGAUGAUUAAUUGGUGCUUGAUGUUUACUAAGUAAGAAAAAUAUGAUUUUACAUAAACAAUAGGAUGGGCGGCAUCUAGGUUAGCCAGUCAUGCAGAAACAUGGUGUAUAUGCCAGGCUAGUUUCAGACUGGGAUGCGGCUUAGCCUAUCACGGGCUGGAGUAUGACCGUAACUAAUCUAAUAUUGAAAAUUAGAUUAUGACUUUAAUAAUAUGAAUGGGGCAUGGAUGGUGUUUGGACUAUUUGGCCAUGCAAGAAACAUGAUGUGUAUGCUAGACAGUCUUGGGUUGGGGCACAGCAUUGUGUUUGGUCAACCAUGAGCUAGAGUAUGGUUGUGACUAGUCAAUAUUGACAUUAAAUCAAGAUGAUGAAUUAUAUUUAAUUGAAGAACAUCUGGGAUAGCCGGCAUGUAUGAAACAUGGUAUUGUGAUGUCAGCUGCGGGUUGAGAUAUGAUUGCCGGUCAUGGAUAGAAACAUGGUGGCCUACCACGAGCUGGAGCCUGAGCGGGAUCUAGUCCAAUGUCAAAAUAAUAAUGUUGUUUGGAUCAAAACCAUGUUAAUCAUUUAAUGAUAAGUAAAUUCAUUGAAUUAUUGAUUAGGAUUGUUGAUUAUAAUAUGUGACAUGUUUAAUAAAAUUGCACAUGAUGAUAUUAUUCAACUAUCAUAUUGAUGAUGUAUGAAUCUUAUUAUUUUUCUAUCAGUUAUUUAUAUUUGUUAAAAGAUAUUUCAUAUUCAUCCUGGUGGGAGUGUGGAGGAUUCUUAUCGGACUGUUAAACUCACUUUCUUUUUUCUUCAAACUUGCAAGAUGCGUAGGAUUGAUCAGGUUGGGCAUAGAGUUUCGCACAAUGGAGUCCUUAGUUAGUUAGUUAAUUUACUAAUAUUAAGCAAAUAUUUCAAUUUUGUGAGUAUUGUUCAAUAAAGAUGGAUUUAUUGGUUUAAUAAAUAUGAUUGGAACUUUACAAUGCUUUCGGUAUUCUUAUAGAUUUGUUUAUUUUUUAGGUCUUAUAUAUUCUUUAGGACUUGUCCUAAGAAGUGUAUGGCCAUCACAUAUCCGAUCCGAAUAUCAGAUUCGGGACGUGACACCAUCCAUCCUAAUAACGUACACCGUGUGUAUGCACGGCGUGUGCCCGUGCAUGCAUUAUUUGCUAGCCAUCCAUUCUGUAAUAAAUGACCAGUGUGAUGCAUCGUAACCACAAAGGAUCUAUGCUUGUAAUGCAUUAGAGGACUAUGGUGUUUUAGGACUACAACCACUGAUUUAAGAGGCAUUGUGGGGUUAACCGUUAAGUUCACCCUAAAACUAACAAGCUGAUUUCCAUCUUUCCAAAAUCUCUCAAAUUCAACUAAGAUAUACCUAAAUGUUGCCUGAAAAAUAUUUUUCUAGAAAAAUUCAGAUCCUAAUUUGAAGAACGAGAAAAUAUAUGAUCCACUUGAACUAAAUUAGUUGCAUUGGAGGUAUUGAGAUCCAAAAUCCUAUGGCAUCUACAUGGUAACCUAAAAGGGUGUUGGUCUGAAAGAUCAUGAUUCUUUGGUAUUAGCUGUAUGUUUCAACACAUUAGUGCACCAUCAUUAUUUCACAGACAUUAGAUUAGAUUGCUCAUCCACCACUUCUUCGCAAGAUUGGACACAUAAAAAGUGCUGCUAAUAUUUUCAAUAUAUGUAAUGGUCAACAACCACCACGGAAUGCUAGCUACAAAAAGGCCUUUGCUAAUAAGAUAAGAUGUCGGCCACAUAUUUAAUUAUCAUGUAUAGACUUGCUAGUUCUUAAUGCUAUCAAAUCCUUGAGGCAUGUCAAUUAAAUCUUAUUAAACGAGCCAAGAAUAUGACAAUUGUCUCUUAAUGUUGUUGAUGCGAAAACAUUCACAGGCUAAAAGUAUUUUCUACCAAUUUUUUUUUUUUUGAAGCAAAGCUUGAAAGGACGAUUGAUUGAUCACUUCUUUUUUUAAUCAUUAAUUAUCAUGGUCAAGCUAUAUAUGUUCACACAAGUCCAUAACAUAAAAAUGUGAACGUUAACCUCAUCUUUUAAACGAUGUGGCAAAGGACAUAAAAGUGGUGACGCCCAUCUAUUCAUAGUUGUCGGCAGGGAGAAUUUUCCAUUCAUGGUUUUGAUUUUAGCUAUGGUGGUGGGAAGCGUCCACAUGUGAGUUCCAUUGUAGAUCAUGGUCGAAUAAGUACUCUUGGCUGUCGUAGUAUCUUUUAAAAUGUCAAAAAGGCAAUCUCCUCAUGUCUCUUGCUUAUUUGAUGACAUUAAUAUAACAAAAGACUUGUGCAGUCUUCUGAAAGGCCUAACCUUUUAAAUAUUCUGAUCUUGGAAUCGAGGUAUAUGUGGAUAUUCUGACGCUAUUUUAUGUUCCUUAGUCUUGUCAUUUCUGUGGGAAGUAUAACUUAGUGAAGAAAGGCUUGGCUUCGCCUUUAUGACUACUCUUUUCUACAUUCCCAAGCCAAUAAAUGGGGAAAAGAGAUGGCACUUCUGCUUUCCUUCUUGUCUGAUCCUUGAAAGCCCUAAAGGUGACCUAAUCUGAGAGUGACGUGGAGUGAGGUUUGCUCGCCACUUGUCUGUCCCUAGCCAAGGAUUCUCUUGCUAAGGUGCUGGCGAAGUUUUUUGACCAGGGACCUUUUCAUUGACAUCAAAGGCCCCUUGCAGUAUCACAGGUCUCCACGCUAUUCUGAGGUUCCAAAAUCAUCAGUUGGGUGUGCCUGAUCUGUACUUCAUAAAAGAGUAUGACAGGAACCUGCACUGCUUUUAUACAUUUGGAAGCUAUGUGGUCCUGGAAACACUGUUCUCCACUCUGCUUUCCGGAAGACCCAGGAAAUAAAUUUUGAUUCGUCCACCACCGAUUGGAGCUAGCUAGUUACGUGCAUGAUUGGUGCGGUGAUUAUUUUGAAUUUUGGAGUUGGAGACACUUUGGAAUUGAAAAUGGUGGCUAUUUUGUAUAGAGCUGAACUACAGGAAUAUUUUGGAAGCCACUCCUCUCCUCAGCCUUGAUACCCUGCCUUGGUUCCAAAGGCGUAGAUAGUGAGAGAUCUAUAGUGGUGGCAGCAUCAAAGAGUGAUGGGAAGAGGCAGAGAAGGAGGCAGGCAAGGGAAAGCUGGGCAGUCUCCAGAGAAGUAUUGGGUUUUAUCCCUCCUUAAUAAGGAUGAUCCAACUAAUCAGUGUGAAACCCUUGUGAAGAAAUCCGAAGCUCAUCCAGAGAUCAAGGAGUUAUGAGAGUAGCCUGUAGAAGGAUCAACCAAAGAGGCAGAAGGUUCUGCAUCCGAGUCGACUCAGCUCCAUACGAGUUGACUUGGUUUCAGUCCGAGUCGACUCAAUCUCAGAGGAGAAGUUAUACAGAAAGCCAUGUUUCGGAACCCUAUGGACAGCAUGCAGGCGAGUCGACUCAAUUCCAGCAUGAGUCAACUCGAUUCCAGACGAGUCAACUCGAUCUUAGUUCAAGUCGACUCGAUUCUCGUGAUGCGGUUUGGAUCAAUUUUUCAGGGUUUCGAGGCUUAUUUAAAGGUGAAUCACGAGGGUUCUGUAUGGAUGCACUCAGAGUGGCGUGAGGAGCCUUUCUUGAGACCAAAACCUAGAGAUCUAUUUUGUGUGUGAUAGAUCUUUGCUCUCUACUUAUUUUUGAGGGAUUCUACUUGUAACUAUCUUUGUAUUAGAUCUUUUGGAAGUAGUGAUUGAUUUGGCUUAGCUCCGUGAUUUUUUUUUUCGAUA